This is a long non-coding RNA of Penaeus monodon (black tiger shrimp), 673 nucleotides long. RefSeq lists it as uncharacterized. The transcript is spliced from 2 exons. NCBI's taxonomy places the organism in Eukaryota, Metazoa, Arthropoda, Malacostraca, Decapoda, Penaeidae. The record is from RefSeq and is a predicted model, not a curated record.
UAAAGGAUGGCAAAGGGUAUUAUGGUGUGGCGGAUAAGAUCAUGUGUAGAUCAGUACAUAGAUUAGUAAUGCUGUUGCCAAUAGAAGAACAAGUUUAAGCAUAUGUACCUUGUCCAAUGUAAUCUAGUCCAUGGUAGUCAAUGUGGAGGGGGGAGUGUAUCAUUAGUAUGAUAGGUAUAUGAAAAAUAAGAAUAUUUAUGUUUAUUUGAUAAUUACGGGUGAGAUGUUACGUUGCGCAUCUCGAGUGUUUUUUGUUUACCCAUGAGCCCACGUAUGACGUUGCUGUGCGGUUGAGGCCUCGUGUGUGAAUCCACUUCGCAGGGAAUAUUUGUGUUGUUGACCUUUCACAGAAGUGGCAGUUAUUGGGCACAAGUCUUUACACUCAUGAAGGUAUGUUUAAGGAUAUUGAGUGGUUUCAAAUUAAUAUCAGAAGAGGAUAAUCCUCAUUAAUAUUGAUAAAUACACGGAACAUGAGUUUGUUGUGUUGGCGUCGGCCAUAAUUUGGAGUGUUUACUUUUCAUAUGCGUUUCAGCCAGUGUUAUGUCCAAUGGGCUGUGGAUUGGAUUUGUGCCGUAACUGAGAUUAUACGUGACGGUAACUACUGGGAAUCAUGGAUUGUGAUAGUGUGGCCAUUGAAGUUGAAACUUUGCUCCAAUAAAAGACUGUUGCAGCU